This 1494-nucleotide long non-coding RNA is filed under the name Triticum aestivum (bread wheat). The record is from RNAcentral. Lineage: Eukaryota; Viridiplantae; Streptophyta; Magnoliopsida; Poales; Poaceae.
UCCCUACCUCUCUGCCUGAUCCCAUUUUUAUUUUGCCUACAUGCCGUGCAUCGUAUCAGUUCCUGGUAGUCCAUGUCAGUAAGGACGUGUCUUUGGUUUGAAUUGCUGGUACGUUGAUGGUGGCGUGCUGAGCAGAGGAUGUGAAACAUUUAGACCGCUGAGGCCUUUCCGGUCUUUGAUGAUCUAAAAAUCGAGCUUUUUAAAACUGAUGCCUGGCAUGCCAUCAAUCAACGUACUGCUUUGUUCUUGUGUAUCUGAGAUGCAGCUCUAUUACAGUGGUAAUAAUGUAGAGUAGUUGCAUAUGAACCGUUUGUCAGCUGAGCACGUGAUGUUACAAGGAGAUGCUACUGAGAUGUCCCAUCGUUGAAGUAUCUUAAACCGAGCUUUUUAAAACUGAUGCUUGGUUCAUUCGGUGCUAAGUUAGAUUACGAGUAUCGUUCUUGGUUGUUGGUCAUCCUACAUGUUGGUCAUCUGUUUGUAAAUUGAAAUCUAUUGCACACUGAAUCUAGCAGUGAUCCUAUCCAUGACAGUUUGUCAUGUGCGAUGUUGAUUUUCUGUUUAUGUUUUAUGAUGGGCUGGUCAGAUGAUGCUGAAACAACAUAUUCCUGAGAUUUUCUUUGAGGAAUACAAAAUCGAGCUUUUUAAGACUGAUGGCUAGCCUGUCUUGUGAUUAUUUUCUUCUUUGUACCUGUUCCUUCUAGCAGGCAAUGCGAGUAAUGUGUUAAGUUCAGUCCUCCUCACAUUUUUUAACCAGUAUGGCAUGAUUGUAGCUUAUGUUCCAAUUGGUUUUAACCAGUUAGCAUCUUAUCUUACCAAGAAUGAAGCAUUUGCAAUUAGUAGAUGGGCUGAGCAAAUGAUGAUGCAUAUGAUUAGUCUGAUCCAUUUGAUGUUUCAAAAUCGAGCUUUUUAAACCUGAUGCUCAUCACAAAUCAGUUUUCUGUUAAUCUUGCUGUGCAUUUUUUCGUUGAAAUAAAAUUUUGAGAUGAACUCAGUCUAACUACUUGUUCUUGGUCUGGGAAAACAGGUACCAACACCUGGGAUCGGUUUGAGAUGCGGGUGCACAAGAGGGUGAUCGACCUCGUCAGCUCCCCCGACGUCGUCAAGCAGAUCACCUCGAUCACCAUUGAGCCCGGCGUCGAGGUCGAAGUGACCAUCAGCGACCAGUAGUUAUGCUACCCCAUGAUAUGUGCCUUUAAAUCUUUUUACAAGGGUGGAGAGACACCAGCGUACCAAGAUAUUUUGAAACUUUCUGUAGUAUGAGAACUGGGUUUUGUAUGACUAGGUUCUUUGCUUCGUGAUUCUAAGUGCCUACUGUCCUAAAUUAUCUGUCAAUUUUCGUUCGUUGCCCUGUUGUGUGUGCCGGGUUGAAUGUUUAUACAUGGAUCGCUAUUUAUCUAUGAGAUUUGGUAACGUUUCCUUGAUAUCUUCAGUGAUUUGUGUUUGACAGUGUGGAAGAUUUUCUGAACUGUAUUACAUUGAAAUAUACAAAACAGC